ACUGAGACGCAGACUGAUCCCAACUCCCAGCUCUCUCAGAUUAUUUGGCUGGGAAAUAACACUGAGGAUCAAUGGAAGAUCACAUCCAUUUGGAGGUAAGAAGAGAAUAGCAUGCUUGUUCAGAGGAUGGUUUUUUGCUUAGCACCGUUGUGCUCAGGACUGGACUCCAAAAGCAAGCUCAAGUUCACGGAGAACAGCCUUUACAUUAAAGCACGAAUGCACCCUGGCCAAGGGGACAAUGUGACACACAAAGGAGGUGACCCUGCAGUGCGACAGAUCUGAAUGCACGGAGUACAGAUGGAGCAUCUAGGAGGGAUGUGGUCUGAGGAAU
Centrocercus urophasianus (Greater sage-grouse) is the source of this 331-nucleotide long non-coding RNA. RefSeq lists it as uncharacterized. The transcript has 3 exons. The record is from RefSeq and is a predicted model, not a curated record. Lineage: Eukaryota; Metazoa; Chordata; Aves; Galliformes; Phasianidae.